UAGCUCAGUUGGGAGAGCGCAGCCCUUACAAGGCUGAGGUCACAGGUUCAAUCCCUG
This 57-nucleotide transfer RNA is filed under the name Deltaproteobacteria bacterium RIFCSPLOWO2_02_FULL_42_39. RNAcentral's name for it is "tRNA-Val". It matches the Rfam family "tRNA", at positions 8 to 62 of the family's 71-position model. Rfam says of the family: Transfer RNA (tRNA) molecules are approximately 80 nucleotides in length. Their secondary structure includes four short double-helical elements and three loops (D, anti-codon, and T loops). Lineage: Bacteria; Deltaproteobacteria. The record is from RNAcentral.